RNAcentral lists this ribosomal RNA (849 nucleotides) under Triticum aestivum (bread wheat). Its description in RNAcentral is "partial small subunit ribosomal RNA". The record is from RNAcentral. Lineage: Eukaryota; Viridiplantae; Streptophyta; Magnoliopsida; Poales; Poaceae.
AUGAUGGUGGAGAGGGAGAAAGAUGAGGGAGAAGCAAUGGCCGUGAACGGGCCAGGGAAGGAAGAAGCAGAAGCUGCAGCGGCACCGGCAGCGACAGGAGAGAAGGGAGAGGGGGAGAGGAAUGACGGAGAAAGAGACGAAGGCGAGGAGCGGAAGGAGGAAGAAGAGGCGGAGGAGAAGAAAGACAAAGUGGAGCCGGAAGAGUGGUCCGAGAUAAGGCUGGCGAUCGCGGAGCUGUCCCCGAUCAGCCGGCGCGGCGGCAAGCUGUGCUCCUCGCCUCCCACGCUGCCCUUCCUCGGCCUCUCCCACCUCCUCCUCCGGCUCCUCGAUAAGAUUGGUCCGACAAUGGCAGUGCUGCGGCUCGACGUCCAACGGAACAUCGAGAGGCUGCAGGAGCUAUACUUGCAGGACCCAUCCAAAUACUCCAUUCUGACGGCGAUGGUCGAGAAAGAGGCUGACGACGGCACCGUGAGGAAGGCCGAUAGCUGUGCAAGAGCUAUUCUAUGGCUCACUAGAUCCAUGGAUUUCACUGUUGCACUGUUACAGAGACUGGAGGAGGAGGAGAAGGAGGAGGGUUCUGAUCAGCAGAGUCUUGCACAGCUCGUAGAAGCUGCGUACAUGGUCUCUCUCAAGCCAUGGCAUGGCUGGAUUUCUUCCGCGGCAUGCAAGAUCGCAUUGAAGCUCAUCCCUGAGAGGGCGAUCUUCGUCGGCUGGCUCAUGGGGGAAAACCAGAGCUACAGCCUCCUCAAGGUCGAGAUUGAGAAGCUCGUCCAGCUGCUCCAGCCCUUUCUCGACGACAUCCAUUCCAUGCUGGCCAAGUUCAGAUUGGACAGGCUGAAGUCGACCUGA